GACGAACGCUGGCGGCGUGCUUAACACAUGCAAGUCGAACGGAAAGGCCCUGCUUUUGUGGGGUGCUCGAGUGGCGAACGGGUGAGUAACACGUGAGUAACCUGCCCUUGACUUUGGGAUAACUUCAGGAAACUGGGGCUAAUACCGGAUAGGAGCUCCUGCUGCAUGGUGGGGGUUGGAAAGUUUCGGCGGUUGGGGAUGGACUCGCGGCUUAUCAGCUUGUUGGUGGGGUAGUGGCUUACCAAGGCUUUGACGGGUAGCCGGCCUGAGAGGGUGACCGGCGACAUUGGGACUGAGGUACGGCCCAGACGGCUACGGGAGGCAGCAGUGGGGAAUAUUGCGGAGUGGGCGGAAGCCUGAGGCAGCAACGCCGCGUGCGGGAUGACGGCCUUCGGGUUGUAAACCGAUUUGGCCGGUGACGAAGAGUGAGUGACGGUAAUGGGUAAGGAAGCAACGGCUAACUACGUG
RNAcentral lists this ribosomal RNA (468 nucleotides) under uncultured bacterium. RNAcentral describes it as "partial 16S ribosomal RNA". It matches the Rfam family "Bacterial small subunit ribosomal RNA", at positions 28 to 507 of the family's 1533-position model. The record is from RNAcentral.